CAGCAGCCGCGGGAAUACGAAGGGUGCAAGCGUUACUCGGAAUUACUGGGCGUAAAGCGUGCGUAGGUGGUGGUUUAAGUCCGUUGUGAAAGCCCUGGGCUCAACCUGGGAAUUGCAGUGGAUACUGGGUCACUAGAGUGUGGUAGAGGAUAGUGGAAUUUCCGGUGUAGCAGUGAAAUGCGUAGAGAUCGGAAGGAACAUCUGUGGCGAAGGCGACUAUCUGGGCCAACACUGACACUGAGGCACGAAAGCGUGGGGAGCAAACUGGAUUAGAUACCCCGGUAGUCCCUGUUUCUUAUAC
RNAcentral lists this ribosomal RNA (301 nucleotides) under uncultured bacterium. RNAcentral's name for it is "partial 16S ribosomal RNA". It matches the Rfam family "Bacterial small subunit ribosomal RNA", at positions 509 to 807 of the family's 1533-position model. The record is from RNAcentral.